Pelobates cultripes (western spadefoot toad) is the source of this 607-nucleotide non-coding RNA. Lineage: Eukaryota; Metazoa; Chordata; Amphibia; Anura; Pelobatidae. The record is from the annotation of a GenBank genome assembly.
CCCUACAACUUUUAGUUGACAUACACUUAUAACUAUAACUUGUUUCUCCCAAAAUUAUUUGAACAUUAACUGGAUUCAAGGAAAGUUUUAACAUUUGGCAGGAUGCUAAUGGAACUAUUUAACCAUGAGCAAAUUAAGCCCUUUUCCUCACAAAAUUGAUUCCCAGAAAGGUGUGCGUUACAACAGACUGUGUAAAAGCCAUAAAUAUGCAGUCUGGUAGAAAACAAAUAAAAGCAAAGAUUUAGGAUAGAUACUGCAGUGUUGAUAAAAACAGUAAUAGGUUAAGAUGCUUGCACUAAUAAUAAUAAUAAAAAAAGUCUGUUUAAAAGGAACAGUCCAGAAUUCAGGACAAAGCUUAAUACCCCAUGAAAAAAAAUCCUUUUAAUGGAUUCAGAAUGGUGAAAAAGAAAUAACUGCCCUAUUAUCCAGCAAUAUAACUGAUAUUUCUUCAUGUAGAAAUUAACCACCACUCAAAAAGCAAAAGCUCAGACUGAUGGUUUCUAUUCUCCACAAGAUGGCUGCCACAUUGGCAUUAAACAAGCCACAAAUUAAGUUUGUUGUUACCACACUAAAACCCUAAAAUUUAAACAAAAAAUAUUGCACUUAA